AUUGAUCUGGGUAUCCUGUGCUUAAUCGGGCCGAGAAGAAACAGCCCAACCGUGGUGUAUUGGAGGGCUCUCUUCCAAUCUGGUGCCGGUCAGCGCUCAUGUCCAUUGGACUUCAUCUGGUCAGCUCCAAGGUUAGAUCCAGACUUCCAGUAAUGGACGAUUGAUUUCCUGGCGGCGGCGUGGUGUUAUUGGUUUGCCUGGCGUUCGUUGUUCCUCCAUUAAUUUGCAUCGAGGGAGAGUGUUGGAAGUUCCCCGCUGUGUGAUUAACCUGGCUGUGCAGAUCCACGACAAUGUCACCCUCGUGCUACUCGGAUGUUUAUCCUGUCCUUCUUCAGUUCCCAAGUGCUACUAGACUACUCCAAAGUAGGCAAAACAGAGCUGUUGCCAUCUUCUAAUUUGCUGCAGAUUCAUGAUUAGUAAGUGUCAAAAUUAUCUCUUUCGAUUGUGCUGGAUGGAAAUGAUACGAGUAAACAGAGUGCUGGAAUAAUUGGAAAUGCUCUUUUUAAUGGAAGAAUAGUAUAAUACAAUACAUACUGUAAGAUGUGAUGAUUUACUUCUGAGAGGCUAAUAAGCUAUUGGAUUUUUGUUCCUACCUCAAGAGAUAAAUGUGUUAUGCUUCUUGCGUGGUUGAUAUUUGAUGGACACUAUCCAAGGGACACAUGAACUACGAGAUUUAAUAUUCUGGUAUUUUGCUUUUCUUCUCCUUGGUUAUCACUGUCACUACUCUAUUUGGUAGAUAUUGAGUUGUGGUUUUUGAUUGUGAACAUGCACUUCUUAGGAGCUUCCAUAUUAUAGACGUGUAUGUGCUAUUAGCAAUAGUACUCUAAUAACUAAAUUCUUUGUUCUGCACUAUUCUUGAAACCGUACAAGCAAUUCAGAAAAAAAAAGAUGCUAAGAGAAGUUGAUAAAUGUGUUCAGUUCAAAGGUGGUUUCUGUAUAUUAUGCAGGUUUAGUGCAUUAUAACGGGGAUUCUUUUCUGGUCCCACUAUGCAAUCCAUGACCAGGUGGCCUUCGCCUCUUUCCUGCCGUCAUGGUGAUUGUUGAUGAAUGAAUAAUAGACUUUGCUUUGUGAGGAAAUAAUGCACACAGUUUUGAUGGUGAGGCUCUAUAGAGAACCGGCUAGACAUAAGCUCUCGUGAUCUCAUCACACUUCUUGAUGGCACUUUGAGGAAGGAUUAUUGAGCUAUAUUCGGAGAGUGUGACCUUCAUCAGAGACUAUGCCUGCUAGACAGGCAUCUGUUUCUGGAAUUGAAAUUGUUUCCCACAAAUUUGUUAUGUAUUGUGUGCAACUUGAUUGAUUUUUAUCUUAGAAGAAAACAUGCAUUUUACCUACUGCCUUUCCUUUUCCCAUGCCCUCACCGCAAUUUCUCAUCAGGGAAAAUAUUGCAAACAUGUUAACUAACCCAUGUUGUUGAUCUCAGAUAUGAAUUUUUGACAUAAAUUCCUGAUGGUUUCCUCCGAUUUCAUCUAGAAGCCUCUCCUUAUAGGUUACGUAUAGGUAGCAUACUUGCUGUAAUAAAAUUGUCAACACCAGUUUAUCUACCUAGAAGAGUUUUGAAUUAAUAGACAAAUAAUGUAUGCAAACUCGAUGCAAAUGAAUAUUCAUUGAGAGGGUACCGCACAAUUGGUCAAGGGAAAAUUAUAGUAAUUGUAAUUUGAAGGGUUAAUUCUUGACAUAACCUAUUUUCAGGCUAUGGUUAAUACUUCGCCCUUUCUUUCCUCCAGAUAAUAAAAGCGGUAUCAAUUUUUUUGUUGAGGCAUGUUUCUGCAGACGAUGUCCAGCAAGCACUCCUAAAGAUUUAGAAGGAAUGACUAAUGGCUAUUUAUACCUUUACCCCCUCUAUAUAAUGUUCUUUAGAAGAUUUCAAG
Long non-coding RNA from Lolium perenne, 1869 nucleotides. RefSeq lists it as uncharacterized. Lineage: Eukaryota; Viridiplantae; Streptophyta; Magnoliopsida; Poales; Poaceae. The record is from RefSeq and is a predicted model, not a curated record.